This 74-nucleotide transfer RNA is filed under the name Candidatus Ryanbacteria bacterium RIFCSPHIGHO2_01_FULL_48_27. RNAcentral's name for it is "tRNA-Gln". It matches the Rfam family "tRNA". From Rfam's summary of the family: Transfer RNA (tRNA) molecules are approximately 80 nucleotides in length. Their secondary structure includes four short double-helical elements and three loops (D, anti-codon, and T loops). Lineage: Bacteria; Candidatus Ryaniibacteriota. RNAcentral also lists the same sequence under 1 other name. The record is from RNAcentral.
UGCCGGAUCGUCUAACGGUAGGACUCCGCCCUCUGGAGGCGGCUAUCUUGGUUCGAAUCCAGGUCCGGCAGCUA